Molecule: ribosomal RNA, 239 nt
Filed under: uncultured Thauera sp.
Lineage: Bacteria; Pseudomonadati; Pseudomonadota; Betaproteobacteria; Rhodocyclales; Zoogloeaceae
Description: partial 16S ribosomal RNA
Rfam family: Bacterial small subunit ribosomal RNA
Source: RNAcentral
AGUGAGACUGCCGGUGACAACCGGAGGAAGGUGGGGAUGACGUCAAGUCCUCAUGGCCCUUAUGGGUAGGGCUUCACACGUCAUACAAUGGUCGGUACAGAGGGUUGCCAAACCGCGAGGUGGAGCCAAUCCCUUAAAGCCGAUCGUAGUCGGAUCGUAGUCUGCAACUCGACUACGUGAAGUCGGAAUCGCUAGUAAUCGCAGAUCAGCAUGCUGCGGUGAAUACGUUCCCGGGUCUU